Molecule: small RNA, 91 nt
Filed under: Tetranychus urticae (two-spotted spider mite)
Lineage: Eukaryota; Metazoa; Arthropoda; Arachnida; Trombidiformes; Tetranychidae
Description: sRNA tetur06g06527
Rfam family: Eukaryotic large subunit ribosomal RNA
Source: RNAcentral
AAGAGUUGUCUUUUCUUUGUAAGGUACCAAGUCCCUGGAAUCGGUUUAACCGGAGAUAGGGAUUCCGGUACCGUAAAGCACCGCGGCUCUG